This 468-nucleotide ribosomal RNA is filed under the name uncultured bacterium. RNAcentral describes it as "partial 16S ribosomal RNA". It matches the Rfam family "Bacterial small subunit ribosomal RNA", at positions 28 to 507 of the family's 1533-position model. The record is from RNAcentral.
GACGAACGCUGGCGGCGUGCUUAACACAUGCCAGUCGAACGGAAAGGCCCUGCUUUUGUGGGGUGCUCGAGUGGCGAACGGGUGAGUAACACGUGAGUAACCUGCCCUUGACUUUGGGAUAACUUCAGGAAACUGGGGCUAAUACCGCAUAGGAGCUCCUGCUGCAUGGUGGGGGUUGGAAAGUUUCGGCGGUUGGGGAUGGACUCGCGGCUUAUCAGCUUGUUGGUGGGGUAGUGGCUUACCAAGGCUUUGACGGGUAGCCGGCCUGAGAGGGUGACCGGCCACAUUGGGACUGAGAUAAGGCACAGACUCCUACGGGAGGCAGCAGUGGGGAAUAUUGCACAAUGGGCGGAAGCCUGAUGCAGCAACGCCGCGUGCGGGAUGACGGCCUUCGGGUGGUAAACCGCUUUCGCCUGUAACGAAGCGUGAGUGACGGGAAUGGGUAAAGAAGCACCGGCUAACUACGGG